AGCGGGCCCAGGACCCGGCUCCGACCGCCGGCAGCCGGCUGAGGCCAGGGCGUGAGAGCCGGACCAGACGACGAGGCCGCCGCUUCCUGUCCGGCCCCGGGCAAGAGGGGACCCGAAGCGGGUCGCAGGGUCGGGAGGCGCGCGGGGCAGCGAGGGGGGACUCACCUCUCCACCCGCGCGGCCUCCGCUCGCGCCUGUGCGUUGGAGGAGUUCGGCGUCCAGCUGGAAGGCGUCCUUACCCGGGUCAGCACCAUCCCGCCCCGGGCCCACUCACAUCGCCAUCGCAGCAACCGCAACCACCGCAAGCCAGGAGUCAGUCAGUUCGUCACGGGGUGCUCGGCUCUCGGCCCAGCGCCGCCGCCGGCGAGCAUGCGCAGUCGCCUCGGUCCCGAAGGAGCGCGGCCGGCGAGCGAUACCUGCGUUCAACAGGUCCCGGCCCGCGGCCCCGCCCCUGGCGCUCUCCCCUCCCCCUCUCGCUGCGUCCCGCCCUCUCGGCGGCGAGGCCCCGCCCCCUCCGGACUCCGCGUCCCGCCCCCUAGGAGCCCGCAGCCGCUGUGCCCGCGCCGACGCCAACCGAGAUUUCAAGAUUUGCUCUCCUUUCCCGGCCCGCGCUCCCGAGUUCCCGCGAGAACGGAAGGCUUGCGUCAAUAAAAAGCGCGAGCCCCGGCGAGGUAAUGCUGACAUAAAUGCUACUGGAAGGAAUAAAUCACCAUGUGUUGUCAAAGCUUGUGUUCCUCGGACUCAGCAGCUCCUGGGACAUCCAGAUUCUUGUCUUUGGCUGUUCCUCUAUACUUUUUUCCAGAUGAGAUGAAUGAUCUCAAUCAGAGCUGCCUGUGUGGAACGAGGUCUCAGAGCUGGCUGUUACCCAGAGAUCUCAGUCAGGGUUGGCUGUAACAAAGCAAACAGAGCAGACCAGGAGGAGCAACCCACCAAGCAGCACCCCUCCACAGUCUCUGCUUCAGUUCCUGACUCCAAGUUCCCACCCUGGUGUCUCUCAGUGAUGGAUUGUGCCCUUGAGUUGACAGAUGAAAUAAAUCCUUUU
This 1042-nucleotide long non-coding RNA is filed under the name Cricetulus griseus (Chinese hamster). RNAcentral describes it as "lncRNA (ENSCGRG00015041700.1)". The record is from RNAcentral. Lineage: Eukaryota; Metazoa; Chordata; Mammalia; Rodentia; Cricetidae.